Molecule: non-coding RNA, 147 nt
Organism: Caenorhabditis elegans
Lineage: Eukaryota; Metazoa; Nematoda; Chromadorea; Rhabditida; Rhabditidae
Source: Ensembl
UAUCCGCUCAGAUUGGCGGCGAGAAAACAAAGGAAUGCAAGAAUGAAACUGUUUGUUGCGUUGUGUAUGCGUGCCUGCCAUUCAUCGCACAUUGCCAAUCGCCCACAAUCCCAAAACAGUUGAAAACACAACACAAAAAAAACGAAA